Molecule: RNase P RNA, 389 nt
Filed under: Clostridium estertheticum
Lineage: Bacteria; Bacillati; Bacillota; Clostridia; Eubacteriales; Clostridiaceae
Description: RNase P RNA component class A
Rfam family: Bacterial RNase P class A
About the family: Ribonuclease P (RNase P) is a ubiquitous endoribonuclease, found in archaea, bacteria and eukarya as well as chloroplasts and mitochondria. Its best characterised activity is the generation of mature 5'-ends of tRNAs by cleaving the 5'-leader elements of precursor-tRNAs. Cellular RNase Ps are ribonucleoproteins.
Source: RNAcentral
CGAGUAAGCCAGACAAUCGCUGCUACUGUAUUGCUUGCAAUACUUUAGAAGAGGAAAGUCCGAGCUCCACAGGGCAGGGUGCUGGGUAACCCCCAGUGAAGGCGACUUUAAGGAAAGUGCAACAGAGAGAUACCGCUAAAGGUAUUCUAAAAGUUUAGUUUACUAAAAUUUUAGAAUAUACUAGCAAGGAUGGAAAGGCGAGGUAAGAGCUCACCAGCGCACUGGCGACUUUGCGGCUAUGUAAACCCCACUUGGAGCAAGAUCGAAUAGGAGAACAUUUUGGGGCGGCCCGUCUCGUUCUCGGGUGUAUCGCUUGAGCUUAUUGGUAACAGUAGGCCUAGAUAGAUGAUUGUCUAAUACAGGACUCGGCUUAUAGACUUAGUCGCACU